UACAGAGGGGGCAAGCGUUAUUCGGAAUUAUUGGGCGUAAAGGGCGCGUAGGCGGCUUUGCAAGUGACGGGUGAAAGCCCUCGGCUUAACCGAGGAACUGCCUGUCAGACUGUAAGGCUUGAGACCGGGAGAGGUGAGUGGAAUUCCCAGUGUAGCGGUGAAAUGCGUAGAUAUCGGAAGGAACGCCGGUGGCGAAAGCGACGCGCUGGACCUCUUCUGACGCUGAGGCGCGAAAGCCAGGGGAGCAAACGGG
This 253-nucleotide ribosomal RNA is filed under the name uncultured bacterium. Its description in RNAcentral is "partial 16S ribosomal RNA". It matches the Rfam family "Bacterial small subunit ribosomal RNA", at positions 524 to 776 of the family's 1533-position model. The record is from RNAcentral.